AGCCUUUAACUGUGUGGCAUCAACGUGACUGCGCAGCCAAAUCCACAUUCAGACAGAAAUUAUUCAUUUCAAGAUGCAUUAGCAAAAUAAAAACCAAAGCC
Thalassophryne amazonica is the source of this 101-nucleotide long non-coding RNA. RefSeq lists it as uncharacterized. The record is from RefSeq and is a predicted model, not a curated record. The transcript has 3 exons. NCBI's taxonomy places the organism in Eukaryota, Metazoa, Chordata, Actinopteri, Batrachoidiformes, Batrachoididae.